GACGAACGCUGGCGGCGUGCUUAACGCAUGCAAGUCGAACGGAAAGGCCCUGCUUUUGUGGGGUGCUCGAGUGGCGAACGGGUGAGUAGCACGUGAGUAACCUGCCCUUGACUUUGGGAUAACUUCAGGAAACUGGGGCUAAUACCGGAUAGGAGCUCCUGCUGCAUGGUGGGGGUUGGAAAGUUUCGGCGGUUGGGGAUGGACUCGCGGCUUAUCAGCUUGUUGGUGGGGUAGUGGCUUACCAAGGCUUUGACGGGUAGCCGGCCUGAGAGGGUGACCGGCCACAUUGGGACUGAGAUACGGCCCAGACUACUACGGGAGGCAGCAGUGGGGAAUAUUGCACAAUGGGCGGAAGCAUGAUGCAGCAACGCCGCGUGCGGGAUGACGGCCUUCGGGUUGUAAACCGCUUUCGCCUGUGACGAAGCGUGAGUGACGGUAAUGGGUAAAGAAGCACCGGCUAACUAC
RNAcentral lists this ribosomal RNA (465 nucleotides) under uncultured bacterium. RNAcentral describes it as "partial 16S ribosomal RNA". It matches the Rfam family "Bacterial small subunit ribosomal RNA", at positions 28 to 504 of the family's 1533-position model. The record is from RNAcentral.